This 586-nucleotide ribosomal RNA is filed under the name uncultured bacterium. RNAcentral's name for it is "partial 16S ribosomal RNA". It matches the Rfam family "Bacterial small subunit ribosomal RNA", at positions 355 to 1375 of the family's 1533-position model. The record is from RNAcentral.
UGGGGAAUUUUGGACAAUGGGCGAAAGCCUGAUCCAGCAAUGCCGCGUGUGUGAGGAAGGCCUUCGGGUUGUAAAGCACUUUUGUCCGGAAAGAAAUCCUUGGCUCUAAUACAGUCGGGGGAUGACGGUACCGGAAGAAUAAGCACCGGCUAACUACGUGCCAGCAGCCGCGGUAAUACGUAGGGUGCAAGCGUUAAUCGGAAUUACUGGGCGUAAAGCGUGCGCAGGCGGUUUGCUAAGACCGAUGUGAAAUCCCCGGGCUCAACCUGGGAACUGCAUUGGUGACUGGCAGGCUAGAGUAUGGCAGAGGGGGGUAGAAUUCCACGUGUAGCAGUGAAAUGCGUAGAGAUGUGGAGGAAUACCGAUGGCGAAGGCAGCCCCCUGGGCCAAUACUGACGCUCAUGCACGAAAGCGUGGGGAGCAAACAGGAUUAGAUACCCGUGGUAGUCCAGCGCCCUAAACGAUGUCAACUAGUUGUUGGGGAUUCAUUUCCUUAGUAACGUAGCUAACGCGUGAAGUUGACCGCCUGGGGAGUACGGUCGCAAGAUUAAAACUCAAGGAAUUGACGGGGUCAUAGCUGUUUCCU